CCAUAUUAGCGUUUAUUACAACGGGUUUUUCUUUCUUUUAUACAGACAUUAGUCACCUACGAGCAAUGGCUUUUCCAGCAACAAAUCGGCGGUUACGUGGAGUACUACGCAGGGAAAAUUGUCUACCUCACAAUAAAGGGCGCCGGACACAGAGUUUCAAGAGACAAGCCACCCGUCUCACUGCAAAUAAUAACGCGUUUCAUUGCAAGUGCCCCGUUCUAAAAGAAAGAAACAAGAAA
This 239-nucleotide long non-coding RNA is filed under the name Dermacentor andersoni. RNAcentral's name for it is "uncharacterized LOC126517440". Lineage: Eukaryota; Metazoa; Arthropoda; Arachnida; Ixodida; Ixodidae. The record is from RNAcentral.